GACGAACGCUGGCGGCGUGCUUAACACAUGCAAGUCGAACGGAAAGGCCCUGCUUUUGUGGGGUGCUCGAGUGGCGAACGGGUGAGUAACACGUGAGUAACCUGCCCUUGACUUUGGGAUAACUUCAGGAAACUGGGGCUAAUACCGGAUAGGAGCUCCUGCUGCAUGGUGGGGGUUGGAAAGGUUCGGCGGUGUGGGAUGGACUCGCGGCUUAUCAGCUUGUUGGUGGGGUAGUGGCUUACCAAGGCUUUGACGGGUAGCCGGCCUGAGAUGGUGACCGGCCACAUUGGGACUGAGAUACGGCCCAGACUCCUACGGGAGGCAGAAGUUGGGAAUAUUGCACAAUGGGCGGAAGCCUGAUGCAGCAACGCCGCGUGCGUGAUGACGGCCUUCGGGUUGUAAACCGCUUUCGCCUGUGACGAAGCGUGAGUGACGGUAAUGGGUAAAGAAGCACCGGCUAACUACGUG
RNAcentral lists this ribosomal RNA (468 nucleotides) under uncultured bacterium. RNAcentral's name for it is "partial 16S ribosomal RNA". It matches the Rfam family "Bacterial small subunit ribosomal RNA", at positions 28 to 507 of the family's 1533-position model. The record is from RNAcentral.